This 484-nucleotide ribosomal RNA is filed under the name uncultured bacterium. RNAcentral's name for it is "partial 16S ribosomal RNA". It matches the Rfam family "Bacterial small subunit ribosomal RNA", at positions 30 to 507 of the family's 1533-position model. The record is from RNAcentral.
AUUGAACGCUGGCGGCAGGCCUAACACAUGCAAGUCGAGCGGAUGAAGGGAGCUUGCUCCUGGAUUCAGCGGCGGACGGGUGAGUAAUGCCUAGGAAUCUGCCUGGUAGUGGGGGAUAACGUCCGGAAACGGGCGCUAAUACCGCAUACGUCCUGAGGGAGAAAGUGGGGGAUCUUCGGACCUCACGCUAUCAGAUGAGCCUAGGUCGGAUUAGCUAGUUGGUGGGGUAAAGGCCUACCAAGGCGACGAUCCGUAGCUGGUCUGAGAGGAUGAUCAGUCACACGGGAGCUGAGACACGGUCCAGACUCCUACGGGAGGCAGCAGUGGGGAAUAUUGGACAAUGGGCGAAAGCCUGAUCCAGCCAUGCGGCGUGUGUGAAGAAGGUCUUCGGAUUGUAAAGCACUUUAAGUUGGGAGGAAGGGCAGUAAGUUAAUACCUUGCUGUUUUGACGUUACCAACAGAAUAAGCACCGGCUAACUUCGUG